AGGAUUAAAUUGAUUUUAAAGCUGUUCUGCCAGUAAAAUCAUAGUCCUGGCGCAUGUUCAGUAGGCAAGAAACCCUGAUAGCCUACUCUGUGUAAACAGUGCAUGCUUUGAGAGACUAUAUAGGGAGAAUAGCUGAGGAUUUGCAGGUUUAAACUGGAUUUAUUACCAAGAGCAUUCUUUUCACUUCCAGAAUGAAUGCUGUACUGUCUUUCAGUUUGUUUUUAUUCAGCUGUGCUUUGGUGUUCCCUAGGCCUUUUGAUACAAUACAGGAGAACAUUCCUACAAAAGGAGACAAUGAAGUUUACCUAGAAAUAAACAAAACCGAAGGAAACGUCACAAUGUUCUCCAAAGAUGAGACGGGCAGGCACAAAUACCUACAAAAAAAGAAAACUGAAGAAACCUGAAGAGAAGUACACCUUCCCACUGACCUCUAACUGGGCGUAUGGCUGGGACCAAGGUUAUAUGGAAAAAACAUACGUUCCACCCCACGGAAAGUCACGCAUUGUUCAAGAUACCUUUUUAAGAAAAAGUGGGGUCAUCUCAGGAUCUUUUUAGAUGAACAGACUUUUCAUAAACCAUUUGUGUGGUACUAGCUAAACAUUAAAGCCAGCUUCUAGUCCUGGAAUCAUAUUGUUAAUAACAGCGUUUUGGAAAAUGCCAUUACAGACAUACUUAAUGUGCCUCAAUAAAUACUGUAAAAUCAGAAAAUAAACGUUUACAACAGAAGCAAAAAUAUUUUAUUAAAAUAAGGCAAUUCACAUAUUGUCCUUAUCAAAAUAAUUCCACCAGUUUUGUAUAACUUUUUUAUUUAUUUGAGAAUUUCAAUUUAGAACAUACAUGGUUCCAUAUUGAAAUUAUAUUGUAUGUUAAAUUACAUUUAGUUUUGUUAUUCUUGUAGUAUUUGUUAUGGUGUUAAAACAAUUCACCUCUAAUAGAAAAACAAAAAGAUGACGCACCGCCAAGCAGCAUAGCUGAAGUGUCAGACGGUUCCGGUUCCACUAUGAAAGGCGCUAUAUAAAAUAAAGAUUGAUUGAAGACAUUUAGUCCUUGGUAUAAGCCUGUGUCAUGGGUCUCAUGGUGAGUGUCUCUUUGUUGCUGUCUUUUUUUUCUGGCCCUUUGGGUGUGUCGUUUCCAUUUCCAGUAGCACAAUCUUCAGGAGUACACUUUAAAAUAGAGUACACUUUAAAAUAGAGUACACUUUAAAAUAGAGUACACUUUAAAAUAGGUACCCUGGGUGUUUUAUGUGUGUCCGUUAACCAAUUGUAUAUAAAAAGGAUCAGUACAAACUAUUUAUUAAAUAAUGGUCCUGAUGGACACCCUGUAUGUACUGUUGUACACCAGAAUACCAGAGAGUGUGUACUAACAAACGGUUCUAAAGAGCAUUAACAUUAAACAAACUUUUAAAAAAAAAAUAGUUUGUACAUGAAGCCUUUAUUAUUUAAUUUAAUAAAUACUGCA
Molecule: RNA transcript, 1458 nt
Organism: Polyodon spathula (Mississippi paddlefish)
Lineage: Eukaryota; Metazoa; Chordata; Actinopteri; Acipenseriformes; Polyodontidae
Exons: 4
Source: RefSeq, a predicted model, not a curated record